UGGAGCAUGUGGUUUAAUUCGAUGCAACGCGAAGAACCUUACCUGGGCUUGACAUCCCGAGAAUCUUCUGGAAACAGGAGAGUGCCCUUCGGGGAACUCGGUGACAGGUGCUGCAUGGCUGUCGUCAGCUCGUGUCGUGAGAUGUUGGGUUAAGUCCCGCAACGAGCGCAACCCUUGUCUUUAAUUGCCAUCAUUCAGUUGGGCACUUUAAAGAGACUGCCGGUGUCAAACCGGAGGAAGGUGGGAUGACGUCAAGUCCUCAUGGCCUUUAUGCCCAGGGCUACACACGUGCUACAAUGGGCGGUACAAAGAGCAGCUAACUCGCGAGGUGGAGCAAAUCGCAGAAAAUCAUCCGUAGUUCGGAUUGGAGUCUGAAACCCGACUCCAUGAAGGUGGAAUCGCUAGUAAUCGCGCAUCAGCAUGGCGCGGUGAAUACGUUCCCGGGCCUU
Molecule: ribosomal RNA, 449 nt
Filed under: uncultured Syntrophus sp.
Lineage: Bacteria; Pseudomonadati; Thermodesulfobacteriota; Syntrophia; Syntrophales; Syntrophaceae
Description: bacterial SSU rRNA
Rfam family: Bacterial small subunit ribosomal RNA
Source: RNAcentral